Molecule: ribosomal RNA, 436 nt
Filed under: Dailognatha quadricollis
Lineage: Eukaryota; Metazoa; Arthropoda; Insecta; Coleoptera; Tenebrionidae
Description: partial 16S ribosomal RNA
Rfam family: Bacterial large subunit ribosomal RNA
Source: RNAcentral
GGCCUUUAGUUUAUGAUUUAAGGUCUGACCUGCCCAAUGAUUAUUUUGAAUGGCCGCAGUAUUUUGACUGUGCAAAGGUAGCAUAAUCAUUAGUUUUUUAAUUGAGAGCUGGAAUGAAUGGUUUGAUGAAAAAAUAACUGUCUCAAUGAAAUUUAUUUAGAAUUUUAAUUUUGAGUGAAAAAGCUUAAAUGUUUUAUGAAGACGAGAAGACCCUAUAGAGUUUAAUAGUACUAAUACUAAUUAUUUAAGGUUUUAUUUUUAUAUUAAUAUAGGUAUUAUUUUGUUGGGGUGACAGAAAAAUUUAACUAACUUUUUAUGGUUUAUAACAUUAAUUUAUGGUUUUUUGAUCCUGAUUUUUUGGAUUAUAAGAUUAAAUUACCUUAGGGAUAACAGCGUAAUUUCUUUGGAGAGUUCUUAUCGAUAAAGGAGUUUGCGA